Small nuclear RNA from Neotoma lepida (desert woodrat), 163 nucleotides. It matches the Rfam family "U1 spliceosomal RNA". From Rfam's summary of the family: U1 is a small nuclear RNA (snRNA) component of the spliceosome (involved in pre-mRNA splicing). The record is from Rfam. NCBI's taxonomy places the organism in Eukaryota, Metazoa, Chordata, Mammalia, Rodentia, Cricetidae.
AUACUUAACUGGCAGGGGAGAGACCAUGAUGAUGAAGGUGGUUUUCCCAGCAUGAAGUGGAACCAUCAAACUCCAGAUGUGUUGACCCCUGUGACUUCUCCAAAUGUGGAAAACUCAACUGUGCAAUUGUUGUAGUGAGCAACUGUAUUCAAACUCUCCCCUG